Molecule: non-coding RNA, 96 nt
Organism: Stygiomarasmius scandens
Lineage: Eukaryota; Fungi; Basidiomycota; Agaricomycetes; Agaricales; Campanellaceae
Source: the annotation of a GenBank genome assembly
GCCCGCCUAGCUCAAUCGGAUAGAGCGUCAGACUUUUAUAUCCAAACAAAAUGCCAGAUGAUCUGAAGGCUGCGAGUUCGACCCUCGCGGUGGGCU